CCUACGGGAGGCUGCAGUGGGGAAUCUUGGGCAAUGGGCGCAAGCCUGACGCAGCAACGCCGCGUGAAGGAAGAAGGCUUUCGGGUCGUAAACUUCUUUUGACAGGGAAGAGUAGAAGCCGGUACCUGUGGAAUAAGCCACGGCUAACUACGUGCCAGCAGCCGUGGUAAUACGUAGGUGGCAAGCGUUGUCCGGAUUUACUGGGUGUAAAGGGCGUGUAGCCGGGUUGACAAGUCAGAUGUGAAAUCCUGCGGCUUAACCGGAGAACUGCAUUUGAAACUGUUGAUCUUGAGUACUGGAGAGGCAGACGGAAUUCCUAGUGUAGCGGUGAAAUGCGUAGAUAUUAGGAGGAACACCAGUGGCGAAGGCGAUCUGCUGGACAGCAACUGACGGUGAGGCGCGAAAGCGUGGGGAGCAAACAGGAUUAGAUACCCUAGUAGUC
RNAcentral lists this ribosomal RNA (442 nucleotides) under uncultured bacterium. RNAcentral's name for it is "partial 16S ribosomal RNA". It matches the Rfam family "Bacterial small subunit ribosomal RNA", at positions 338 to 795 of the family's 1533-position model. The record is from RNAcentral.